GGCCCGUUGGUGAAGGGGUCUAACACACAAGGUUCUCAACCUUGGAUUCAUGGGUUCGAAACCCAUACUGGUCACCA
RNAcentral lists this transfer RNA (77 nucleotides) under Mollicutes bacterium. RNAcentral's name for it is "tRNA-Glu". It matches the Rfam family "tRNA". From Rfam's summary of the family: Transfer RNA (tRNA) molecules are approximately 80 nucleotides in length. Their secondary structure includes four short double-helical elements and three loops (D, anti-codon, and T loops). Further hydrogen bonds mediate the characteristic L-shaped molecular structure. tRNAs have two regions of fundamental functional importance: the anti-codon, which is responsible for specific mRNA codon recognition, and the 3' end, to which the tRNAs corresponding amino acid is attached (by aminoacyl-tRNA synthetases). tRNAs cope with the degeneracy of the genetic code in two manners: having more than one tRNA (with a specific anti-codon) for a particular amino acid; and 'wobble' base-pairing, i.e. permitting non-standard base-pairing at the 3rd anti-codon position. The record is from RNAcentral. Lineage: Bacteria; Bacillati; Mycoplasmatota; Mollicutes.